Molecule: unclassified non-coding RNA, 436 nt
Filed under: Fraxinus platypoda
Lineage: Eukaryota; Viridiplantae; Streptophyta; Magnoliopsida; Lamiales; Oleaceae
Description: partial external transcribed spacer
Source: RNAcentral
GGUAUGUUGGAUCCCUGCUGGGGCAGCGACAACGUCCUCUUCAUGCCUGGUUCAUUGGAUGGUCGAGUCUCGCAUUCGGCCAUCUCACGAUUCGGUUCCCUGUGUUGCAUACCCGUUGCGAUGGUAUCUUGUUGCCUAGAAUGACCCCGUUUCGCCCUACGUUGCGAGUAACGUCGCGGCCGAAGGUGAACCAAAAAGCAUUCAUCGUGUUCCACCCCGUUCACAUUACAUGUUGCGGGACUUGGCCCAUGAUGGCGUGCUCGAGUUCUCGGAUGCGGAAUACGAAGUGGGUACGAGGAUGUCGAUCCUCGGUUCACCCCCGAACAAGCGUUCUACGCUCCGUGCGAACGACGUUCUUCCUCGUCCUGGGCUUCCGUCCACACGAGGUCGACGUCGCAGAGGAAUGCUACCUGGUUGAUCCUGCCAGUAGUCAUAU